This 119-nucleotide ribosomal RNA is filed under the name Pteropus vampyrus (large flying fox). Lineage: Eukaryota; Metazoa; Chordata; Mammalia; Chiroptera; Pteropodidae. The record is from RNAcentral.
GUAUACGGCCAUGCCACCCUGAACAAGCAUGAUCCCGUCUGACCCUGGAAACUAAGCAGGGUCGGGCCUGGCCAGUACUUGGAUGGGAGACCACCUAGGAAGACCAGGUGCUGUAGGCA